Long non-coding RNA from Rattus rattus (black rat), 1742 nucleotides. RefSeq lists it as uncharacterized. The record is from RefSeq and is a predicted model, not a curated record. The transcript is spliced from 2 exons. Lineage: Eukaryota; Metazoa; Chordata; Mammalia; Rodentia; Muridae.
UUUCUUUUUUUAAUCUACAGCUGGAGUGCCAAAUUGUACCUGACACCAAGUAACAUUGUCCUGCUGACUGCGGUAGCCCUCACUGGCGUCUGCGUCUUCAUCCUGGCAAUAAUCGCCAUUUUACACUGGCAGGAGAAGAAAGCUGACGACAGAGAAAAGCGGCAAGAAGCACAUCGCUUCCACUUUGACGCUAUGUGAUUCUGCAUUCAGUGGUACAUCCUGGAAGUCACUUGAUUAGCGAAACACUAAAUUUUGACUCCUAGUAAAAAAAAUAAUGGAUCUGAGAUAUUUAUAAAUUAUGCCUUCCUUGUCAAUUAUUGGAAAAUACUGAAAUAAAUAUGGCCUGCAUAUCUCAUAAGGUCUGCUUUAAGCACUCUGUAUAUAAUAACCUAGGUUCUUUAUUCAGUGGUACUGAGCAUUCUUUUCCUCUGUGGAAUGUGUUGCAUGUACUCUGGUAUUUGUGUUUACAAUGUUGUUAGAAUUACGAUGGUGGAAGGACAUGUAAAUAAAAACUAUUUAAACGACCUGGGGCCAGGACAUUGUUCCACCUAAAUUGAUCUUGCUUUUUAUCUUAAAAAUGCACACUUUCUCAAAUAUGUGGCAGAUAAAGUUAUUCAACUAACAUUCUUCACUGCAGGGCAGAGCUCUCAUGAGUGGCAUGGAAUGAGACUAAUUAGCCAGGCUUUGGAAUCUCAGUAGGAUAGACUGCCUUAGAUGCCUGGUUCUACAGCUUACAACUCUCUGAAUCUGGCUACUGCUUAGCCUCUCUGUAAGCCGCAGUCUUGUUUAUAUGAUGUGGCUUAUAUGCCUGUUCACUUGAGUUAUCGUGGAUGUAUACUGUCUGAUGCACACAGUGAUCACUUGAAUUACCGUGGAUGUACAUUGUCUGAUGCACAUGUGAUCACUUGAGUUAUCAUGGAUGUACAUUGUUAUAUGAUGCACAUGUGUUCACUUGAGUUAUCGUGGAUGUACAUUGUCUGAUGCACAUGUGAUCACUUGAGUUAUCGUGGAUGUACAUUGUCUGAUGCACAUGUGAUCACUUGAGUUAUUGUGGAUGACAUUGUCUGAUGCACAUGGUGUGCUUAGCUCAGUGCCUGAGCAAACAGAAAAUGUUCCUGAGCAAACAGGAAGUGUUCACCAAGCGGAGGCUGUCCUUGCUCUUGCCGGUGAUUUAAUCUACUACUGUAUAGAAUGGAUCAUUAUUAUAGACAUAAGGACAUACUCUUUGGAAAGCUUAAAUUAUUGGUGGUACAUAUCUCAUAUAAUUAAUUUGUUUGACUAGCUAUAUAAUACUACCCAAGAGUAAAUGUAUCCUAAAACCUGGUACUUGAAUACUGAUCCUUGUACAGUGAUGUAAAUCAUUUGGUCUCUUGAAAGAAAGCUGACAGAGGCAAACUCUGGGGGUGCAAACUGCCAUCACAGCUCUGCUCGCAGGACGGGAAAGUCGGUCUCAGUUCUCUUCAGACCGCAGGGUUCAUACUAUGAACUUUACAUUGCCAAAAUUCACUUUAAAAUUAUUUAAAUUAGAGUUGAGGAGAGAGGUGAUAAAACUAUUAUCAGAGAUAACAAUAUUCAGAUUACUAAGACAUGCUGUGGCUGUAAACUAUAAAAAUUCCUCUGGAACAGUUUUGUCUGUGUUAUUUUCCUCACUGCAGUUCACUGAAGGGCAUGUGCUCCUUUUUAUUUCUAUUUAAGCAUGUUAAUGUAUCGUCUUAAUAAAUACUCCUUACUGAAUGAAAAAA